This 83-nucleotide transfer RNA is filed under the name Bacteroidales bacterium. RNAcentral's name for it is "tRNA-Leu". It matches the Rfam family "tRNA". From Rfam's summary of the family: Transfer RNA (tRNA) molecules are approximately 80 nucleotides in length. Their secondary structure includes four short double-helical elements and three loops (D, anti-codon, and T loops). Lineage: Bacteria; Pseudomonadati; Bacteroidota; Bacteroidia; Bacteroidales. The record is from RNAcentral.
GCCCAGGUGGUGGAAUGGUAGACACGAGGGACUUAAAAUCCCUUGGCCGAUAGGCUGUGCGGGUUCGAGUCCCGCCCCGGGUA